Molecule: ribosomal RNA, 394 nt
Filed under: uncultured bacterium
Lineage: Bacteria
Description: partial 16S ribosomal RNA
Rfam family: Bacterial small subunit ribosomal RNA
Source: RNAcentral
CCUACGGGAGGCAGCAGUGAGGAAUAUUGGUCAAUGGGCGCGAGCCUGAACCAGCCAAGCCGCGUGAAGGAAGAAGGCACUACGGGUUGUAAACUUCUUUUAUAAAGGAAUAAAGUGAGGCACUAGUGCCUUUAUGUAUGUACUUUAUGAAAAAGGAUCGGCUAACUCCGUGCCAGCAGCCGCGGUAAUACGGAGGAUCCGAGCGUUAUCCGGAUUUAUUGGGUUUAAAGGGAGCGUAGAUGGGUUGUUAAGUCAGUUGUGAAAGUUUGGGGCUCAACCGUAAAAUUGCAAUUGAUACUGGCAGGCUUGAGUUCAGUAGAGGGAGGCGGAAUGCGUGGUGUAGCGGUGAAAUGCUUAGAUAUCACGAAGAACUCCGAUUGCGAAGGCAGCCUAC